UUUCUUUGGACUGACAAGACAGGACAGAAUUAUUUAGUAUUUGAAGAAACAAGUUCAGAUAAGAGAGAAAUAGUAGAAGUUUAAUUUAAAGGUUAGUAUUAAUUUGUUAUAGAAGAUAAACUUAAAUAAUAAUAGUAAAUGCCUAAUUUUCUAUUCCUGGUAAUGAUUAAUGAAUAAUUCAACAUAUAAUAUUUAAUAAUAAAUCUGCCUUUUAAUUAUUAUGGAUUACAGGGCGUGACAUAAUGAAUGUCAGCCAUCUUUGUUUUCUGCUGUCAAAACUAUAUAUUUUAUGAUUUAAGUGAAGUUUCUGUUUUAGUUGUUAGCUUAUCUGAGUUAAUAAUUUAGCUACGUUUAAUCAAUUGUUUUUAUGACGAACUACACCAAAGCAUUGGUUUUGGAAUGAAUUAGUUUAAAUGUUUUAGUUCUGAAUGUAUAAUAGAUAUAUGGAAACCAUAUACUAAACAAUUGAUAUUAUGAAUUUAUUUUUAUGCAGGUUUCCCCAGUUGUUAUGGAAUAUAUCAACACAAUGCCUACGUGUAAUUCAUAUGGGUGUGUCUUGUGUAUUAUGUUUACAUGAAUAAAAGAUGAUGCCCUAACCCGUA
This is a long non-coding RNA of Gigantopelta aegis, 602 nucleotides long. RefSeq lists it as uncharacterized. Lineage: Eukaryota; Metazoa; Mollusca; Gastropoda; Neomphalida; Peltospiridae. The transcript has 2 exons. The record is from RefSeq and is a predicted model, not a curated record.